UCGCAUCCUGGGGCUGAAGCAGGUCCCAAGGGUUUGGCUGUUCGCCAAUUAAAGCGGUACGUGAGCUGGGUUCAGAACGUCGCGAGACAGUUCGGUCCCUAUCUGCCAUGGGCGCUGGACGGUUGAGAGGGGCUAUUUUUAGUACGAGAGGACCGAAAUGGACGAACCUCUGGUGUGCCGGUUGUCCUGCCAAGGGCACGCGCCGGGUAGCCACGUUCGGAAGGGAUAACCGCUGAAGGCAUCUAAGCGGGAAGCCCGCCUCAAGAUGAACCGUCCCCGGGGACUCGAUCCCCCUGAAGGCACCAGGAAGACUACCUGGUUGAUAGGCUGGAGGUCUACGCAGGGCAACCUGUUCAGCCGACCAGUACUAAUCUGCCGUGAGGCUUGACCAU
RNAcentral lists this ribosomal RNA (392 nucleotides) under Treponema sp. RNAcentral describes it as "partial 23S ribosomal RNA". It matches the Rfam family "Bacterial large subunit ribosomal RNA", at positions 2540 to 2925 of the family's 2925-position model. Lineage: Bacteria; Pseudomonadati; Spirochaetota; Spirochaetia; Treponematales; Treponemataceae. The record is from RNAcentral.